Non-coding RNA from Triticum urartu, 383 nucleotides. NCBI's taxonomy places the organism in Eukaryota, Viridiplantae, Streptophyta, Magnoliopsida, Poales, Poaceae. The record is from RefSeq and is a predicted model, not a curated record.
UCCCCGUACCCUUGCAGAGAUGGAACCUAGGCUCGGUUGUGAAUUUUCAUUGCAAACCGAUGGUGCCAAUAAUAGACAACCAGAAAUCAAUCUCCCUCCAGUCGUCCAGGAUAGCUUCAGCACACCCAAGAAAGGAGCUAGCAGCGGGCCUUUUUGUGGUUCAUCAUGUACACCGGAAUGUGAUGAAAAUCUAAAGCCGGCUGUAGGCAUGACAUUCAAGAACAUGGAAGCCGUCGAAGAGUUCUACAAGGCUUAUGCACACAACGUUGGCUUUUCAGUUCGAAUCGGUCAGAAGAGGACUGUAGAUAAUUUGGUGGUCUGGAGACGAUUUUUGUGUGCCAAAGCAGGUUUCAGAUCCAAGGCAGAGGAAGAAAAGAAGGUUG